RNAcentral lists this ribosomal RNA (281 nucleotides) under uncultured bacterium. Its description in RNAcentral is "partial 16S ribosomal RNA". It matches the Rfam family "Bacterial small subunit ribosomal RNA", at positions 28 to 309 of the family's 1533-position model. The record is from RNAcentral.
GACGAACGCUGGCGGCGUGCUUAACACAUGCAAGUCGAGCGGUAAGGCCCUUUCGGGGGUACGACGAGCGGCGAACGGGUGAGUAACACGUGGGUGACCUGCCCUCAGCUCUGGGAUAAGCCUGGGAAACCGGGUCUAAUACCGGAUAUGACUCCAUGACGCAUGUUGUGGGGUGGAAAGCCUUGUGCGGCUGAGGAUGGGCCCGCGGCCUAUCAGCUUGUUGGUGGGGGUGAGGCCUACCAAGGCGACGACGGGUAGCCGGCCUGAGAGGGCGACCGGCC